RNAcentral lists this ribosomal RNA (907 nucleotides) under Salmonella enterica subsp. enterica serovar Infantis. RNAcentral's name for it is "bacterial LSU rRNA". It matches the Rfam family "Bacterial large subunit ribosomal RNA", at positions 2036 to 2925 of the family's 2925-position model. The record is from RNAcentral. Lineage: Bacteria; Pseudomonadati; Pseudomonadota; Gammaproteobacteria; Enterobacterales; Enterobacteriaceae.
GUGAAAUUGAACUCGCUGUGAAGAUGCAGUGUACCCGCGGCAAGACGGAAAGACCCCGUGAACCUUUACUAUAGCUUGACACUGAACAUUGAGCCUUGAUGUGUAGGAUAGGUGGGAGGCUUUGAAGCGUGGACGCCAGUCUGCGUGGAGCCGACCUUGAAAUACCACCCUUUAAUGUUUGAUGUUCUAACGUGGACCCGUAAUCCGGGUUGCGGACAGUGUCUGGUGGGUAGUUUGACUGGGGCGGUCUCCUCCUAAAGAGUAACGGAGGAGCACGAAGGUUGGCUAAUCCUGGUCGGACAUCAGGAGGUUAGUGCAAUGGCAUAAGCCAGCUUGACUGCGAGCGUGACGGCGCGAGCAGGUGCGAAAGCAGGUCAUAGUGAUCCGGUGGUUCUGAAUGGAAGGGCCAUCGCUCAACGGAUAAAAGGUACUCCGGGGAUAACAGGCUGAUACCGCCCAAGAGUUCAUAUCGACGGCGGUGUUUGGCACCUCGAUGUCGGCUCAUCACAUCCUGGGGCUGAAGUAGGUCCCAAGGGUAUGGCUGUUCGCCAUUUAAAGUGGUACGCGAGCUGGGUUUAGAACGUCGUGAGACAGUUCGGUCCCUAUCUGCCGUGGGCGCUGGAGAACUGAGGGGGGCUGCUCCUAGUACGAGAGGACCGGAGUGGACGCAUCACUGGUGUUCGGGUUGUCAUGCCAAUGGCACUGCCCGGUAGCUAAAUGCGGAAGAGAUAAGUGCUGAAAGCAUCUAAGCACGAAACUUGCCCCGAGAUGAGUUCUCCCUGAGACUUAGAGUCUCCUGAAGGAACGUUGAAGACGACGACGUUGAUAGGCCGGGUGUGUAAGCGCAGCGAUGCGUUGAGCUAACCGGUACUAAUGAACCGUGAGGCUUAACCUUACAACGCCGAAG